CUUUAAAUUAAGUUCUUUAUUGAAUUAACAGGUCAGAAAUAACAAGAGCCUGAAUUAUAUGAAAAUGUCAUCCUAUCAUUGACAGUUUCCAUUCAUACUGGAGGAGGAUGGUAGUUAAAGGCUGGACCAAAGAGUACACUAGAAAAGCCACUACCAGGGCACCAUGAACUUCCAUUCCAAUGAAAGUACAGGUCAGCAGCAACCAAGAGAGAGCAAAAUGGGAUUCCAACAGCGUGUAACAAAGGCAGGAACCUCUGGGCUCUUUGUAAAAUGGUUUGUCCUUCUUUAGCUGUCCGGUCUGAUCCAGCAAGGGGCACUGGCAGAUCUAAAAGUUCUUGUGUCCAUUUGCCAUUGGUCUGUGUGGAAAAUCCUCCAUUGUAACAUACAUCACACAUUGAGCAAUGUUCUGAUCCAUUAUGACAUGGGAAAGGAACUCCAUCCGAAGAACUCAAUGCUGAAGAUAUACGGCUGCCUUCUUUCAUAUUGAUGACAUGAAUGUUGAUCACACCACCACACAAUCCAUUUGUUGAAGUUUUCUUCAGGGAGAGGUUGCUGAAGAGAUAAUGCAUUUUUUUAUGAACACUCCUGACUCAACACCUUUAUACAGUCUACAAGCAUCCUAUACCAACCAUACAGGACAGCUCUAUUUGGACACCUUGAUAGUGAAUAAAGAGUAGAUGCAUUACAACCACUAUUCCAGUUAAGUCCAGGCCUACCUGCAUUCUAUUUCUUGUCCUUGUCUUGUAUUUAAUUGUAUAGGCCUAUCACAAAAUGGUCGGCUUGGCUCUUGGAUGCCAGGUAGGGCUCUUGCACAUGUGGGGCUCUUGUCUGGAAGGAACAGGGCUAUAAUUCCAUCCUUCGUAAUAGCAACGCAUCCACAUCUGCCGUCACUGUUUAGCUGGACUCUGCAUGGCUGUGCUAUAGCGAAAGGUGCAACUUCCGAUGCAGGUAAUGGGCUUUGUUGCUCAGAAGAGGCCUUUCUUCGUCGUUCACAAUACAUUCUUUUGGCAAACAAUCCCGUUGGCAACAUUGUUUCAACCAAUGCAAGUUGACAAUCGAAGCCUGACAGUUUUCUUCUCACCUCCUGCAUGAUUAAAUAUCAUAGAUGAAGUUAAGAAAAGUAAUUGAUUUAUAAAGUCAAGUAGGCCGAAAACACAUUAUCUGCAGAUAUUUACACGAACCCUUAUUAUUUUUUUGGAGACCCCAUGUCCUCUGCGUCUGCAAUGAUCAGACAUGUUUCCAAUGUUGGCAAGCGCUUAAUUAAUCACACAAAUUCUGAACGUGAAAGACUGCUUAUUAUAGAUUUAGCAGUGACUAAAAUGAUGUUUUCCGAUGUAGACAGACAGCGCGCUAGUCUCGCUUGUCGGAGACAGAGGCUGUGAGUAGAGUCGCACAGCGCACUGGUUGUUCAUCCAGUGUGCAAGGGUUGUCAAUCAUUAUAUGAUGACGUCACGUGCGCG
Molecule: long non-coding RNA, 1460 nt
Filed under: Salmo salar (Atlantic salmon)
Lineage: Eukaryota; Metazoa; Chordata; Actinopteri; Salmoniformes; Salmonidae
Description: lncRNA (ENSSSAG00000083522.1, ENSSSAG00020079314.1, ENSSSAG00075054161.1)
Source: RNAcentral